Molecule: ribosomal RNA, 467 nt
Filed under: uncultured bacterium
Lineage: Bacteria
Description: partial 16S ribosomal RNA
Rfam family: Bacterial small subunit ribosomal RNA
Source: RNAcentral
GGGGGGGGGGGGGGGGGGGCGGAAGGGGGGCGGGUGGGACGGGAAGGCCUCUGUCGGGGGGUACUCGAGGGGCGAACGGGUGAGUAACACGUGAGUAACCUGCCCUUGACUUUGGGAUAACUUCAGGAAACUGGGGCUAAUACCGGAUAGGAGCUCCGGCUGCAUGGUGGGGGUUGGAAAGUUUCGGCGGUUGGGGAUGGACUCGCGGCUUAUCAGCUUGUUGGUGGGGUAGUGGCUUACCCAGGCUUUGACGGGUAGCCGGCCUGAGAGGGUGACCGGCCACAUUGGGACUGAGAUACGGCCCAGACUCCUACGGGAGGCAGCAGUGGGGAAUAUUGCACAAUGGGUGGAAGCCUGAUGCAGCAACGCCGUGUGCGGGAUGACGGCCUUCGGGUUGUAAACCGCUUUCGCUCAUGACGAAGCUUUGUGUGACGGUAGUGGGUAAAGAAGCACCGGCUAACUACGUG